GCCUCGGUAGCUCAGUCGGCAGAGCGCGUGCCUUUUUAGCCCGUGCCUUUUAAGCCCGUGGCCGCGGGUUCGGGCCCGCCCGAGGUG
RNAcentral lists this transfer RNA (87 nucleotides) under Perkinsus marinus ATCC 50983. Its description in RNAcentral is "tRNA-Lys". The record is from RNAcentral. Lineage: Eukaryota; Perkinsozoa; Perkinsida; Perkinsidae.